UUGGGAGAUACACUUAUAAAUCUAUAGUUACAGGACAAUGUGCUAGUCAUAAUAAAAACACGACAGACUAUCAAGGGAACCCCACAGAAGAACACUGAAUCAUGCCAGAAAGUGGGAGAGUUCUCCAUGAGGUUAGGUCUUGAGCUGAGUUUAAAAUAAAGAGUAAGAGUUUAUCUAGAUAGAGGAAAGUGUUAGAAGACUCAUUUGGACAAUGACAGGGGCAACUAACAACAUGCCAGGUUAGAAACUACAAAUUGUGAUACCUGGAUCAAGGGAGGAAUCAUGGGAACGAGACCAGAAAGUUAUACAGAAUUCAAAAAGUUGAAGAGUCUUGAAUACUAGCCUAGAGAGUUGGGAACAUUGCAAAUUUUAAGCAGCAGAGUGGGGGAUCAAAUGUACAUUUUGGAGCAGACUGAUGAUUAUUUGGAAUGAAGAAGAGGAUAUCGGACUAGAGGCAGAGAGACUAGAAGCAAGGCCAAAGCAAUAAGCCAGGCCAUGUAUGAUGAGGGCCUGUAUGAAGGGCUUGCUAUGGCCAUGGCAAUGAUGAGGCAGGAAUAGGCUUUGAGGUAUCUCACCCAGAGGAUUCUGUAGAACUGAGUGACUAUCGGGUGUGUGGAAUGAGUGAGAAAUAAUUAAAAGGAUGAUUCUGCAAUUUCCAGCUUGAGGGACUCCACAUUAGGAAAAACCAUCUCCAAGAAAGGAACUGGAAGAUAAGUUGAUCUGGAAUUUGAAAACUUCCCUUACAGUUGGCAUUUCUAACACCCCAAUAGUAUGGAAUUACUAGCAAUAAGGCAAGGGUGGAAAAAUACCAAGUAUUAUAUGGAAGAAACCACAAGAGGAGGAGGAAGGCAGCACUUACAGGCAUGGUAGUGAGAGAAAAUAAUGAGAAAGACUUGUCCUUAGUAUGACAUGACUAGAAUUUUUUUCUCACAAUUUAUUGUCAGUAUUGAGGAGAUAUCUCAGGGAUAGACUGUCCUAGGAGAAGACAGCUACAGAAAGGCCAGAUGGAUUGGUGGAAUAAUCUGGGAAUUUUGCAAAUAGCACUUUGAAAAAUCAACAAAACUCUUUUUGGACUUUCUUCAGAAGCAAUGCCCCCAAAGUCAAUCCUGGAAGGUCACUCUCAAGAGGUCACCCACUUACCAAUUCCCAUGGCCUAAUUCUGCUGAUUUGCACAGACUCAUGUGGGGGCACUAUCCUUUAACCUAGAGUCUGUGGUCAGCACUGGCUUCCCUCCUAGAGUGGGGGCAGGAGCAACAUGACCAGAACCUUGUGACAAAUGCCUGUUUCCAUCUGGGGUCUUGUCUGUGCAUGCCUCCAUCAGGGGGUGAAUGACUUGGAUUUCCUGUGCAUGUCAUACCAAGGCAGAGUUGAGCUGGAACCAAAGGAGGGUUGAGCCAUUCUCUUAUCCUUUUUCCUUCUCCCUUCAGGCAUUUGAAAAACAAAAAAACAAACUCUUGCUCUGGAGAAUGGUUCAAGAUCUGUCAAAUUUAGAGAAAGAAAUAAAAGAAAAUGGAGAAUUAAUUCUUAAUGAGGAACCCAGCUUAGUAUUUACCUCUUGCUCCCCAAACUCAGUUUUCACUAAUCCCUGAGACACCUUCCACCUGCUCCUGCUUAGGCAGGGUAUAAGAUAACCAGUAUCAGCACAAUCCUCUGGGGUUGGGGGUAGCCAUUCAGACAUGAGGGCUGAUGAGUGUUGGCAUUUUGUUCUUCACAAUGUGUAUUUUUAAUUCCUUUCUUCUGCUAUAUCUUUCAUGUUCCUUUCUCUCAUAUUUUCUUUCCUGUCAUUCCCUUGUUUCCUUCCUUUCCUCUCUCCACUCUUUUCGUAAUUUUUACCUCUUGUCCCUUCUAUCUUUAUUUCUUUCUGACAUUAUUCCCUUGCUUGCUUCGAUUCUGAUUCCUUCUUCCUUCUCUUCCCACUUUUCCCUUUCUUCUUGACUAGAGUAAUAGAGUAUGGACUCAAGGCAUAUUUCUGGGUUUGACUCAAGUCUAUCACUUCUAUGGUAUAUGAUCAUGAGUAAAUAUCUAAACUUUCCUAUAUCACAUUUUCCCUAUCUGCAAUGGGAAAAUACUAAUCACAUCUAUUUCAGUUUUGUUCCAAGUGUUAAAUGAGAUCAUGUGAUGUGCUAGGCAUAGGCCUGGCAAUUAAUAAUCAUGCUAUAAAUGUAAGAUGCUACUGUUAAAUUUUAGGCUUCCUUUGGAAACCCAGUUCUUUCUCCAGGCAUUUUUUACCCCAUUGAUAUGUUUAAGAAUUUCAGUAGUCCCUGGCCACACCUCCCUCAUUAUGAUUUUGCAUACAAACUCUAAAAAAUUGUACUCUUUUUCUACAUGAACCCUUCCUGAGCCAUCUCACUCAAAUUUUCCUUUUCUCUAUACUACAAAAAGGGCAAAACCCAGUAUUUUCUUUAUUAUUAUUAUUGUUGUUUUUAAUAGUUAUUUUCCCAGUACAAUUUUUUUUUCUACUGUAUAGCAUGAUGACCCAGUUACACAUACAUGUACACAUUCUAUUUUGGCACAUUAUCAUGUUCCAUCAUAAGUGACUAGACAUAAUUCCAAGUGCUAAACAGCAGGAUCUUAUAGCUAAUCCAUCCCAAAGGCAAUAGUGUGUAUCUAUUAACCCAAAGCUCCCCAACCACUCCACUCCCUCUUCCUUCCCCUUGGCAACCACAAGUCUAUUCUGUAAGUCCAUGAUUUUAUUUUUGUGGAAAAGUUCAUUUGUGCCUCCUUAUAUUAGAUUCCAGAUAUGUGAUAUCAUAUGGUAUUUGUCUUUCUCUUUCUGACUUACCUCACUCAUUAUGAGAGUCUCUAUUUCCAUCCAUGUUGCUGCAAAUGGCAUUAUUUCAUUCUUUUUUCAUGGCUGAGUAGUAUUCAAUUGUGUAUAUAUACCACAUCUUCCUAAUCCAUUCAUCUGUCAGUGGACAUUUGGGUUGUCUCCAUGUCUUGGCUAUUGUGAAUAGAGCUGAAAUGAACAUGCGGGUAAGUGUGUCUUUUUUAAGGAAAGUUUUGUCUGGAUAUAUGCCCAAGAGUGGGAUUUCUGGGUCAUAUGGUAGUUCUAUGUAUAGAUUUCUAAGGUACCUCCAUACUGUUCUCCAUAGUGGUUGUACCAGCUUACAUUCUCACCAACAGUGCAGGAGGGUUUCCUUUUCUCCACACCCCCUCAAGCAUUUGAUAUUUGUGGACUUAUUAAUGAUGGCCAUUCUGACUGGUGUGAGGUGAUAUCUCAUGGUAGUUUUGGUUUGCAUUUCUCUAAUAAUCAGUGAUGUUGAGCAUUUUUUCAUGUGCUUAUUGGCCGUCUGUACAUCUUCCUUGGAAAAGCAUCUAUUCAGGUCUUUUGCCCAUUUUUCCAUUGGGUCUUUGGCUUUUUUGCUGUUGAGUUGUAUAAGUUGCUUAUAUAUUCUAGAGAUUAAGCCCUUGCCAGUUGUACCAUUUGAAACUAUUUCCUACCAUUCUGUAAGUUGUCUUUUGUUUUCUUUUUGGUUUCCUUUGCUGUGCAAAAGCUUGUCAGUUUGAUUUGGUCUCAUUGGUUUAUUUUUGCUCUUAUUUCUGUUGCUUUGGGAGACUGUCCUGAGAAAAUAUUCAUAAGGUUGAUAUCAGAGAAUGUUUUGCCUAUGCUCUCUUCCAGGAGUUUGAUGGUGUCUUGUCUUACAUUUAAGUCUUUAAGCCAUUUUGAGUUUAUUUUUGUGCAUGGUGUGUUCUAGCUUCAUUGAUUUACAUGCAGCUGUCCAGGUUUCCCAGCAAUGCUUGCUGAAAAGACUGUCUUUUUUCCUAUUUUAUGUUCUUGCCUCCUUUGUCAAAGAUUAAUUGACCACAGGUGUCUGGGUUUCUUUCUGGGUUCUCUAUUCUGUUCCGUUGGUCUAUAUGUCUGUUUUGGUACCAGUGCCACACUGUCUUGAUGACUGUGGCUUUGCAAUAUUGCCUGAAGUCUGGGAGAGUUAUGCCUCCUGCUUGAAAACCCAGUAUUUUCUUUUCUUAUGUCAUAUUUUUUGUUACUUCUGGACAUCAGAGAAGCAACACAAUGCAUAUUAUAACAAUAGGUUUUGAUGAUGAACAUUUUAGUUGAUCAUCAAGUAGUUAAAGACCUAAGCAAGAGCAGGCUCAUGUUUUGAAUUCAGUCUCUGAAUUAAAUGAAUGGAGCACUUUAGUUCUUAUACCAUGCUUGUAAGUUUGGCUGGUCACAUGAGCCAAUUUAUCUACUGGCUUUGCUCUGAUGAUUAUUUUUUUUUUUGUCCACAUGUUUGGCUUAGGCUAAUGGGUAGUCCGUUUUUCCUGAAGGUAGUUUUUUUUUUUUUUUCUUGCUAUGUUUAGAUUUUUUUAUUGCAUUAAUUUUUAAAACUAUAAAUAAAAUCUUUCUCAUCUGUGGAAAUAAAACUAAAAGUAAAACUAGGGAAGAAUGUUGUCUUUAUGUCAAGAAUUAAAACUUACAAACUACAGGGUAAUAUUGGAAUAGAAAUGGGUAUCAUUAGACAAAAUACAGAAACAAGGUUCUAGUACUUAACAAAAUUUACUGAAAUGAUAAGAUGGCAUUUAAGUUAAAUAGAAAAAGCAAGGCUUAUUCAAAAAAUCAUAUGGCAUUGCUUUUAGCCUUAUUUGAUAUCGUAUAUAAAAAUAAAUUCCAAAUAUAUUAACAUAAAUAAAACUUAAAACUAAGUAAAAAAAUACUAGAAUAAAACAUAGAAGAAUAUUAGUAAAACACCCUGAUGAAGGUGGCUUUUGUAAGCUUGCUGAGAAACUUGGAUCGUAAAGCAAAGAUUGACAGAUUUAGUUUCAUAAAAAGUAAAACAUUCUCAUUUGCAAAAGACACCAUAAACAAAGGCAGAAAACUAUUUGCAAAAAACAUUGUAGACAGAAAAUAAAUAUAAUUAUUAUGUAAACUUCAUAAGCACAUUUAUAAAAAAAGAAAAACAAAACUAUUCGGAAUGGAUAUGAGAAGUAGGCAAAAUGUAGAUAUGGCCAGUGAAAAUUUAUAAAUAUGCUCAACUUCAUGAGUGGAAAAAAGUUAAAAUGUUAAGAUGUCAUUUUUACUCCAUCAGAUCAGUAAGCCGAAAAGGACUUAGCUAAUGCCAGUAAAGAUAUGGGGCAAUUGACAUUUAUUUAUUUAUUUUUGUCUUUUGUCUUUUUUUAGGGCUGCACCUGUCGCAUAUGGAGGUUCCCAGCCUAGGGGUCUAAUUGGAGUUGUUGCUGCCCACCUACACUACACCUCACGGCAAUGCUGGAUCCUUAACCCACUGAGCAAGGCCAGGGAUUGAACCGCAACCUCAUGGUUCCUAGUCAGAUUCGUUUCCGCUGUACCACUACAGGAACUCUGCUAUGGACAUUUUUUUAUACUGUUCACAAGAAUGUGAAUUUUUAACAUUAAAAAAUGUACUUACUCUUUAUCUCAGCGAUCUUUUCUUUCUUCUAGGAAUCCAUCCUACAGAAAAUACCAAUACAUAAGGAUGAAGAACAAGGAUGUCUAUUAUUAAUAACCUAUAUGUAUGUUGUUAAUAUAAGUUAAGGUGAACAGCAUAAUAGUGUAACUUACCUACAUUGUGAAAUGCACAAGUUUAAUAACUUUCUAUCAUCCUAUAGAU
RNAcentral lists this long non-coding RNA (5567 nucleotides) under Sus scrofa (pig). RNAcentral describes it as "lncRNA (ENSSSCG00000056047.1)". The record is from RNAcentral. Lineage: Eukaryota; Metazoa; Chordata; Mammalia; Artiodactyla; Suidae.